CUUAUUUCUUGCUUGGAGGAUAAAGGAGAGGGAGAAAGUAUUGCUCUUAGAUUUUAGAAAAAAAUGUAGAAAGAAGAGGAGAGCAUUUACAUUUUAAAGAUAAAUGGAUUGGAGGGAGGGAACAAAAUGGCAGAGGAGUAGGUGGAUUUGGAGUACAUUUCUCUCAAAAGAUGCAUCAGCAAUAUGCCCUCAGACACAGAAGUGCAUGCAGAAUACCAGCUGAGAGUGGACAGGAGUACCUGACCAGAGGAAAAGAAUAUAUAGAACUAUUCAGAACUCAAAACUCAGUAAGAAAAAACUAGGGGGAAAAACAGGAGUGUUAGUAGGACUGGACCUGCCCUUGGUGGGUGGAGGAACUGAAGCAGGGGUCUGAUCCCCUCACUGGGGCAAUUGUCUGAGUCAGAGGAGGCACAUUUAAGGCUUAUGGAAUGAGAAUCAGACAGUCCUUGCCACAGCCAUACAUAUCCCGGACAUGGACACAGGUCUCCUGGAAGGCACAGCAGCUGGGAGCUGGACUUUAGGGAUUGUGGAACAAUUCCAGGGUGAGAGCUGCUGUUGACUGCAGAGAAUGGAUUGAGAGGAGAGAUAUAUUUUCUAUGAGCAUCUGAGAUCAAGAACCAGGAACCAGAAUUUCACAAUGACAAUCAAGUGAUGAUCCACUGGAAACCAUUCAUGUGACUCUAUUCUAAGUGUCAAGUAUUUUAAAACUAUAUCAAGCAAAGAAACCAAUCUCCUCCUCUGAAGCCUCAUGCAGUAAAAGGUAGAGGAUUAAAAGCUAAAGUAUAUCAGAUAUUAUUUACAGUUUACUUCACUUAUUCCCCAUUUUCCAUCCAGAAGUUGCAUCUGCGCCUACUUGAGGCUUGUACCUUCUUUUAGUGACUUGAAUUUUCCUGACAUCAGAGGAAUACUCAAAAAUACAAAGACUUUGAAAAACUUUGGAGUUUUCCACUGGGUCCUGUCUCACCUAUAGUUCAAGACAGAGGAUAUUACAAAGAAAAGUUGGGGAAAAAAAGAAUCUUUGUAAGUCUUUAUACUUUGAAUAUGCACAAAAAUUAAACUUCACUUGUUAUAGUUAA
Long non-coding RNA from Bubalus bubalis (water buffalo), 1076 nucleotides. RefSeq lists it as uncharacterized. The record is from RefSeq and is a predicted model, not a curated record. The transcript is spliced from 2 exons. Lineage: Eukaryota; Metazoa; Chordata; Mammalia; Artiodactyla; Bovidae.